CCAAGUGUUCGACUUCCAGUACCACACAGAAAACAGCUUAACUAUUAAGAAAUUUCAACAAAAAGAAAAGAUUUGAACUAGACUGUCUGUGAACAUCAAGUUCAUCUUGAAAUUGUCCUCCCCCUUGGCUCCUACGAUGUUGCCCCUACUUCUUUUCUGCAGAAAAGUAUUCUAUGGAUUUAAAGGAUUCCCCAAAAUUGGGAAGAGGAAGAAGAACACAAAGAAAACAAGCUGCAGUGUUCCUCCCCUUGUGAAGGGGACCCUCUGGAUGAUGGAGAAGCAAUAUGCAAACUGUGGUGCUAUUCUGGGAUCCCAGCUAAGCAUGACUAGCGCAGCCUAGGAGUUACACUACCUUACACCAGAGAUAAGGAAGCCCCUGGACUCC
This 385-nucleotide long non-coding RNA is filed under the name Dromaius novaehollandiae (emu). RNAcentral describes it as "lncRNA (ENSDNVG00000016803.1)". Lineage: Eukaryota; Metazoa; Chordata; Aves; Casuariiformes; Dromaiidae. The record is from RNAcentral.